RNAcentral lists this small nuclear RNA (166 nucleotides) under Bombyx mandarina (wild silkworm). RNAcentral describes it as "U1 spliceosomal RNA". The record is from RNAcentral. Lineage: Eukaryota; Metazoa; Arthropoda; Insecta; Lepidoptera; Bombycidae.
AUACUUACCUGGCGUAGGGGAUACCGUGAUCAUGCAGGCGGCUCCCCCAAGGCGAGGCUGCUCCAUUGCACGGCGGAGUGGUUGUAACACUUGCGAUUAUUUUUAUUUUUAUCAAUAAAAAAAUCAUAAUAAAAAAUAUAUGUAUACCCGAAUAAUUAUUUUCUUU